Molecule: ribosomal RNA, 978 nt
Filed under: Dendrodoa aggregata
Lineage: Eukaryota; Metazoa; Chordata; Ascidiacea; Stolidobranchia; Styelidae
Description: SSU rRNA
Rfam family: Eukaryotic small subunit ribosomal RNA
Source: RNAcentral
UGCGGUUGAAAAGCUCGUAGUUGGAUUUUGGGCGGGCGCUGCCGGUCCGUCGCAGGGCGUGUUACUGGCAGCGUUCGCCUCGCUUCGGUUCUCCGUCGGUGCUCUUGACUGAGUGUCGGCGGUGGCCGAGAAGUUUACUUUGAAAAAAUUAGAGUGUUCAAAGCAGGCUGCUCGCCUGUAUAGUGUUGCAUGGAAUAAUGGAAUAGGACCUCGGUUCUAUUUUGUUGGUUUUCGGAGCGCGAGGUAAUGAUUAAGAGGGACAGACGGGGGCGUCCGUACUCUGCCGUUAGAGGUGAAAUUCUUGGAUCGGCGGAAGACGAACUACUGCGAAAGCAUUCGCCAAGAAUGUUUUCUUUAAUCAAGAGCGAAAGUCAGAGGUUCGAAGACGAUCAGAUACCGUCCUAGUUCUGACUAUAAACGAUGCCAACUAGCGAUCGGGAGGCGUUACCAUGACGACCUUCCCGGCAGCUUCCGGGAAACCAAAGUCUUUGGGUUCCGGGGGAAGUAUGGUUGCAAAGCUGAAACUUAAAGGAAUUGACGGAAGGGCACCACCAGGAGUGGAGCCUGCGGCUUAAUUUGACUCAACACGGGGAAACUCACCCGGCCCGGACACAGGUAGGAUUGACAGAUUGAGAGCUCUUUCUUGAUUCUGUGGGUGGUGGUGCAUGGCCGUUCUUAGUUGGUGGAGCGAUUUGUCUGGUUAAUUCCGAUAACGAACGAGACUCUGGCAUGCUAAAUAGUUACGCGACCUUCUCGGUCGGCGUCUAACUUCUUAGAGGGACUAGUGGCGCUUAGCCACACGAGAUUGAGCAAUAACAGGUCUGUGAUGCCCUUAGAUGUUCGGGGCCGCACGCGCGCUACACUGAAUGAAUCAGCGAGUUUCUCACCUAGGCCGAAAGGUCCGGGUAACCCGUUGAACCUCAUUCGUGAUUGGGAUAGGGACUUGCAAUUGUUUCCCUUGAACGAGGAAUUCCCAGU